GAAUUCACAAGGGAUAUUAUCAAUAGCUGCAUGUCUAGAAAUCAAAUCACCAAAGGCAUAACUGAUGCGUUCAAGGGUCUGAGUAAGCAC
This is a long non-coding RNA of Telopea speciosissima, 90 nucleotides long. RefSeq lists it as uncharacterized. Lineage: Eukaryota; Viridiplantae; Streptophyta; Magnoliopsida; Proteales; Proteaceae. The transcript is spliced from 3 exons. The record is from RefSeq and is a predicted model, not a curated record.